GCUUUCAAACUUUUUCAUUUUCUUUCGAUGAAAUACAUAUUCUGCAAUUGUGGCACUUUGUACUGUGCGUGGCACUUUGCGGCGCUCUGGCCCUCAAGAGGUGGCCCCCAAUGCAAAAUCUCAUAAAACAGAAAUUCCGUUUGCUAAAAUCCACUUUCUCAUUCAUAGAAAACUCAAUACAUUUUCGUGCUCAUGCCAAUGAACCAUCACACAUACAUAUGCCCAUGUACAUAAUCACGCCCCUUACAUAACAACACAUCACAUAAACACAUGAGCAGAGACAUAUAAAUCCAUAUUCGUACAUAUCAAAAUAGGCUUUUCAUACAAGUCAAACAUAUAUAUUAUUUAUUGUGAUUCGUUUUAAAGUCUAGUUCACUUACCUCUUGGCAUCCUCAUGUAACAAAUGCGUACUGAUACCAUUAACCUAAAAUCAUCAAUAAAUUCUCAUAAAAUAUAAUCAAAUCUCAAUCAUAAACUCCAAUGUCCUCAAAUAUCUCAAUUUAAACAACUCCUAAGCUCAACCUCAAAUGUCCUCAAUAAUCGGCCCUCAAAACAUAACAGUUCAUACUUCUAUGAUUUUUAAUAACUUAUUCUCUUAUUGGAAGAAUCUCAAAUUUUACAAACCAUAUGCUUACACAUUGAAAGUUCAUUGAUAAAAAUUUCAUAACAUAAUUCCUUCCAAAACGAUUGAAAAUAAUUCACGAUUUAGACAUCAUCAAUACUGUCAAACAGUUUUCGGUUUUGAACACACUUAUUUUAAAAAUACAAAACAAUUUAUUUCUUUAUCAUAAAAUCAUGAAAAUUUCCAGAAUCAUACUAGACAUAUAUAAAAAUCAUUGGUCCAAAUUUCAUAAUUUUUGAAGAAGUCUAGAUAUGAUAAAAAUAAUUUCGUAAUUCACUGAAAUCAUAAAUUUCCAGGUUUUCAGACUUGAAUUUGAAAAAUCAUAAUUAAUUGAAAUCUUAUCCGAUUAACUUGAAACAAGUUUCAAAACAUAUUGGACGAUGUCUAGUUUAACAUACCCAAAAAUCAGAAUCAAAAUCAAUUUGUACAAAUUACUAUGAUUUUCGAAAUAAUUCACUGUCAGCAUAUUUAUGUAAAAUCUUUGAUUUCUACUUCUAUUACAAUCAUGCUUCUCCACAACAAUUUAAUAGAAACCAAUAAUUAAAACGUACCUCCAAAACUUCUCCCAACAAUAACAACCUGAUCCCAUGUGUUGUCUAUGGCAAAAACUAAGAAGAAGAAGAAGACUUUCUUCUUCUUCUUUUUUCUUUUCUUUUCUCUCUUGUCUCUCCAUCUCUCUUUU
This 1304-nucleotide long non-coding RNA is filed under the name Citrus maxima (pomelo). RNAcentral describes it as "long non-coding RNA (CMAX_LNC003164)". The record is from RNAcentral. Lineage: Eukaryota; Viridiplantae; Streptophyta; Magnoliopsida; Sapindales; Rutaceae.